GAUCAUGGCUCGGGAUGAACGCUAGCUACAGGCUUAACACAUGCAAGUCGAGGGGCAGCAUGGUCUUAGCUUGCUAAGGCCGAUGGCGACCGGCGCACGGGUGAGUAACACGUAUCCAACCUGCCGUCUACUCUGGGGCAGCCUUCUGAAAGGAAGAUUAAUACAAGAUGGCAUCAUGAGUCCGCAUGUUCACAUGAUUAAAGGUAUUCCGGUAGACGAUGGGGA
Molecule: ribosomal RNA, 225 nt
Filed under: uncultured bacterium
Lineage: Bacteria
Description: partial 16S ribosomal RNA
Rfam family: Bacterial small subunit ribosomal RNA
Source: RNAcentral